GCCUCCGUAGCUCAGAGGUUAGAGAACUGGUCUUGUAAACCAGAGGUCGUGAGUUCAAUUCUAACUGGGGGCU
This 73-nucleotide transfer RNA is filed under the name Octopus vulgaris (common octopus). It matches the Rfam family "tRNA". From Rfam's summary of the family: Transfer RNA (tRNA) molecules are approximately 80 nucleotides in length. Their secondary structure includes four short double-helical elements and three loops (D, anti-codon, and T loops). RNAcentral also lists the same sequence under 1 other name. The record is from Rfam by way of RNAcentral. Lineage: Eukaryota; Metazoa; Mollusca; Cephalopoda; Octopoda; Octopodidae.